Molecule: ribosomal RNA, 719 nt
Filed under: Priestia aryabhattai
Lineage: Bacteria; Bacillati; Bacillota; Bacilli; Caryophanales; Bacillaceae
Description: Bacillus aryabhattai partial 16S ribosomal RNA
Source: RNAcentral
AACAGACCAAAAAAGCCGCCUUCGCCACUGGGUGUUCCCUCCACAUCUCUACGCAUUUCACCGCUACACGUGGAAUUCCGCUUUUUCUCUUCUGCACUCAAGUUCCCCAGUUUCCAAUGACCCUCCACGGUUGAGCCGUGGGCUUUCACAUCAGACUUAAGAAACCGCCUGCGCGCGCUUUACGCCCAAUAAUUCCGGAUAACGCUUGCCACCUACGUAUUACCGCGGCUGCUGGCACGUAGUUAGCCGUGGCUUUCUGGUUAGGUACCGUCAAGGUACAAGCAGUUACUCUUGUACUUGUUCUUCCCUAACAACAGAGUUUUACGACCCGAAAGCCUUCAUCACUCACGCGGCGUUGCUCCGUCAGACUUUCGUCCAUUGCGGAAGAUUCCCUACUGCUGCCUCCCGUAGGAGUCUGGGCCGUGUCUCAGUCCCAGUGUGGCCGAUCACCCUCUCAGGUCGGCUAUGCAUCGUUGCCUUGGUGAGCCGUUACCUCACCAACUAGCUAAUGCACCGCGGGCCCAUCUGUAAGUGAUAGCCGAAACCAUCUUUCAAUCAUCUCCCAUGAAGGAGAAGAUCCUAUCCGGUAUUAGCUUCGGUUUCCCGAAGUUAUCCCAGUCUUACAGGCAGGUUGCCCACGUGUUACUCACCCGUCCGCCGCUAACGUCAUAGAAGCAAGCUUCUAAUCAGUUCGCUCGACUGCAUUAUAGAGCCCCCCU